RNAcentral lists this ribosomal RNA (614 nucleotides) under Pseudozyma tsukubaensis. RNAcentral's name for it is "eukaryotic LSU rRNA". It matches the Rfam family "Eukaryotic large subunit ribosomal RNA", at positions 62 to 657 of the family's 3401-position model. Lineage: Eukaryota; Fungi; Basidiomycota; Ustilaginomycetes; Ustilaginales; Ustilaginaceae. The record is from RNAcentral.
AAACUAACAAGGAUUCCCCUAGUAACGGCGAGUGAAGAGGGAAGAGCCCAAGAUUGAAAGCUGGCGUCUUCGGCGUCCGCAUUGUAAUCUCAAGAAGUGUUUUCCGCUUCGGACCAAGCCUAAGUCCCCUGGAAAGGGGCAUCAUAGAGGGUGAUAAUCCCGUACAUGGCUUGGAGCGCCCGUAGCUUUGUGAUACACUUUCUAAGAGUCGAGUUGUUUGGGAAUGCAGCUCAAAAUGGGUGGUAAAUGCCAUCUAAGGCUAAAUAUUGGGGAGAGACCGAUAGCGAACAAGUACAGUGAUGGAAAGAUGAAAAGAACUUUGAAAAGAGAGUUAAACAGUACGUGAAAUUGCCAAAAGGGAAGGGUAGGAGGUCAGAGAUGCGGCCUAGGAUUCAGCCUUGCUUUUGCUUGGUGUUUUUCCUAGAUUGCAGGCCAACGUCGGUUUUGGGCACUGGAGAAGGGUGGAAGGAACGUGGCACCUCUCGGGGUGUGUUAUAGCCUUCUACUGGAUACAGCGACCGAGACCGAGGACAGCAGCGUACUCGCAAGAGCGGGCCUUCGGGCACCUUUACGCUUAGGGCGUUGGCAUAAUGGCCCUCUACCACCCGUCUUGA